ACCGCGAUAGCUCAGCUGGUAGAGCAUCUGCCCGAUAAGCGGAGAGUAGAUGGUUCCAUUCCAGCUCGCGGAA
This 73-nucleotide transfer RNA is filed under the name Fasciola hepatica (liver fluke). It matches the Rfam family "tRNA". Rfam says of the family: Transfer RNA (tRNA) molecules are approximately 80 nucleotides in length. Their secondary structure includes four short double-helical elements and three loops (D, anti-codon, and T loops). The record is from Rfam by way of RNAcentral. Lineage: Eukaryota; Metazoa; Platyhelminthes; Trematoda; Plagiorchiida; Fasciolidae.